GUGGGGAAUUUUGGACAAUGGGCGCAAGCCUGAUCCAGCAAUGCCGCGUGCAGGAAGAAGGCCUUCGGGUUGUAAACUGCUUUUGUACGGAACGAAACGGUCCGGGUUAAUACCCUGGGCUAAUGACGGUACCGUAAGAAUAAGCACCGGCUAACUACGUGCCAGCAGCCGCGGUAAUACGUAGGGUGCAAGCGUUAAUCGGAAUUACUGGGCGUAAAGCGUGCGCAGGCGGUUUUGUAAGACAGGCGUGAAAUCCCCGGGCUCAACCGGGGAAUUGCGCUUGUGACUGCAAGGCUGGAGUGCGGCAGAGGGGGAUGGAAUUCCGCGUGUAGCAGUGAAAUGCGUAGCUAUGCGGAGGAACACCGAUGGCGAAGGCAAUCCCCUGGGCCUGCACUGACGCUCAUGCACGAAAGCGUGGGGAGCAAACAGGAUUAGAUACCCUGGUAGUCC
RNAcentral lists this ribosomal RNA (450 nucleotides) under uncultured bacterium. RNAcentral's name for it is "partial 16S ribosomal RNA". It matches the Rfam family "Bacterial small subunit ribosomal RNA", at positions 354 to 796 of the family's 1533-position model. The record is from RNAcentral.